This 253-nucleotide ribosomal RNA is filed under the name uncultured bacterium. RNAcentral's name for it is "partial 16S ribosomal RNA". It matches the Rfam family "Bacterial small subunit ribosomal RNA", at positions 524 to 776 of the family's 1533-position model. The record is from RNAcentral.
UACGUAGGGUCCGAGCGUUGUCCGGAAUUAUUGGGCGUAAAGGGCUCGUAGGCGGUUCGUCGCGUCGGGAGUGAAAACCCAGGGCUUAACCCUGGGCUGGCUUCCGAUACGGGCAGACUAGAGGUAUGCAGGGGAGAACGGAAUUCCUGGUGUAGCGGUGAAAUGCGCAGAUAUCAGGAGGAACACCGGUGGCGAAGGCGGGUCUCUGGGCCGAUACUGACGCUGAGGAGCGAAAGCGUGGGGAGCGAACAGG